CCUACGGGAGGCAGCAGUGAGGAAUAUUGGUCAAUGGACGAGAGUCUGAACCAGCCAAGUAGCGUGAAGGAUGACUGCCCUAUGGGUUGUAAACUUCUUUUAUAUGGGAAUAAAACGUUCCACGUUGGGGAUUUUGUAUGUACCAUCUGAAUAAGGAUCGGCUAACUCCGUGCCAGCAGCCGCGGUAAUACGGAGGAUCCGAGCGUUAUCCGGAUUUAUUGGGUUUAAGGGGAGCGUAGGUGGAUUGUUAAGUCAGUUGUGAAAGUUUGCGGCUCAACCGUAAAAUUGCAGUUGAAACUGGCAGUCUUGAGUACAGUAGAGGUGGGCGGAAUGCGUGGUGUAGCGGUGAAAUGCUUAGAUAUCACGAAGAACUCCGAUUGCGAAGGCAGUUCACUGGACUGCAACUGACACUGAGGCUCGAAAGUGUGGGUAUCAAACAGGAUUAGAUACCCCUGUAGUC
RNAcentral lists this ribosomal RNA (460 nucleotides) under uncultured bacterium. RNAcentral describes it as "partial 16S ribosomal RNA". It matches the Rfam family "Bacterial small subunit ribosomal RNA", at positions 338 to 795 of the family's 1533-position model. The record is from RNAcentral.